Molecule: ribosomal RNA, 176 nt
Filed under: Sphingomonas sp. enrichment culture clone AVCTGRB13A
Lineage: Bacteria; Pseudomonadati; Pseudomonadota; Alphaproteobacteria; Sphingomonadales; Sphingomonadaceae
Description: partial 16S ribosomal RNA
Rfam family: Bacterial small subunit ribosomal RNA
Source: RNAcentral
ACGGACUCCUACGGGAGGCAGCAGUAGGGAAUAUUGGACAAUGGGCGAAAGCCUGAUCCAGCAAUGCCGCGUGAGUGAUGAAGGCCUUAGGGUUGUAAAGCUCUUUUACCCGGGAUGAUAAUGACAGUACCGGGAGAAUAAGCUCCGGCUAACUCCGUGCCAGCAGCCGCGGUAAU